UAAAGACAGACUUGCAGUUCAGCCACAGGA
Molecule: non-coding RNA, 30 nt
Filed under: Homo sapiens (human)
Lineage: Eukaryota; Metazoa; Chordata; Mammalia; Primates; Hominidae
Source: RNAcentral